CCUACGGGCGGCAGCAGUGAGGAAUAUUGGUCAAUGGACGAGAGUCUGAACCAGCCAAGUAGCGUGAAGGAUGACUGCCCUAUGGGUUGUAAACUUCUUUUAUAUGGGAAUAAAAUGUUCCACGUGUGGGAUUUUGUAUGUACCAUAUGAAUAAGGAUCGGCUAACUCCGUGCCAGCAGCCGCGGUAAUACGGAGGAUCCGAGCGUUAUCCGGAUUUAUUGGGUUUAAAGGGAGCGUAGGUGGAUUGUUAAGUCAGUUGUGAAAGUUUGCGGCUCAACCGUAAAAUUGCAGUUGAAACUGGCAGUCUUGAGUACAGUAGAGGUUGGCGGAAUGCGUGGUGUAGCGGUGAAAUGCUUAGAUAUCACGAAGAACUCCGAUUGCGAAGGCAGUUCACUGGACUGCAACUGACACUGAGGCUCGAAAGUGUGGGUAUCAAACAGGAUUAGAUACCCGUGUAGUC
RNAcentral lists this ribosomal RNA (460 nucleotides) under uncultured bacterium. Its description in RNAcentral is "partial 16S ribosomal RNA". It matches the Rfam family "Bacterial small subunit ribosomal RNA", at positions 338 to 795 of the family's 1533-position model. The record is from RNAcentral.